AUUGAACGCUGGCGGCAGGCCUAACACAUGCAAGUCGAACGGUAACAGGAAGCGGCUUGCUGCUUUGCUGUCGAGUGGCGGACGUGUGUGUCAUGUCGGUGAAACUGCCUUAUGGAGGGGGAUAACUACUGGAAACGGUGCCUAUUACCGCAUAACGUCUCAACCGCAAAGAGGGGGACUUUCGGGCCGCUUUCCAUUCGCUUUGCCCUGAUUGGAUUAGCUAGUAGGUGGGGUAACGGCUCACCUAGGCGACGAUCCCUAGCUGGUCUGAGAGGAUGACCAGCCACACUGGAACUGAGACACGGUCCAGACUCCUACGGGAGGCAGCAGUGGGGAAUAUUGCACAAUGGGCGCAAGCCUGAUGCAGCCAUGCCGCGUGUAUGAAGAAGGCCUUCGGGUUGUAAAGUACUUUCAGCAGGGAGGAAGGGAGUAAAGUUAAUACCUUUGCUCAUUGACGUUACCCGCAGAAGAAGCACCGGCUAACUCCGUG
RNAcentral lists this ribosomal RNA (490 nucleotides) under uncultured bacterium. RNAcentral's name for it is "partial 16S ribosomal RNA". It matches the Rfam family "Bacterial small subunit ribosomal RNA", at positions 30 to 507 of the family's 1533-position model. The record is from RNAcentral.